RNAcentral lists this ribosomal RNA (584 nucleotides) under uncultured fungus. RNAcentral's name for it is "SSU rRNA". It matches the Rfam family "Eukaryotic small subunit ribosomal RNA", at positions 253 to 842 of the family's 1831-position model. Lineage: Eukaryota; Fungi. The record is from RNAcentral.
CAUAAUACUUCUCGAAUCGCACGGCUUGUGUGGCGAUGCUUCAUUCAAAUAUCUGCCCUAUCAACUUUCGAUGGUAGGAUAGUGGCCUACCAUGGUUUCAACGGGUAACGGGGAAUAAGGGUUCGAUUCCGGAGAGGGAGCCUGAGAAACGGCUACCACAUCCAAGGGAAGGCAGCAGGCGCGCAAAUUACCCAAUCCCGACACGGGGAGGUAGUGACAAUAAAUAACAAUAUAGGGCUCUUUCGGGUCUUAUAAUUGGAAUGAGUACCAAUUUAAAUCCCUUAACGAGGAACAAUUGGAGGGCAAGUCUGGUGCCAGCAGCCGCGGUAAUUCCAGCUCCAAUAGCGUAUAUUAAAGUUGUUGCAGUUAAAAAGCUCGUAGUUGAACUUCAGGCCUGGCUGGAUGGGUCUACCUAACGGUAUGUACUGUCUGGCUGGGUCUUACCUCUUGGUGAGCCGGCAUGCCCUUUACUGGGUGUGUUGGGGAACCAGGACUUUUACCUUGAGAAAAUUAGAGUGUUCAAAGCAGGCCUAUGCCCGAAUACAUUAGCAUGGAAUAAUAAAAUAGGACGUGCGGUUCUAUUU